Molecule: ribosomal RNA, 253 nt
Filed under: uncultured bacterium
Lineage: Bacteria
Description: partial 16S ribosomal RNA
Rfam family: Bacterial small subunit ribosomal RNA
Source: RNAcentral
UACGUAGGUGACCAGCGUUGUCCGGAUUUACUGGGCGUAAAGAGCGCGCAGGCGGUCGUUCAAGUCGAGUGUGAAAGCCCCCGGCUCAACUGGGGAGGGUCACUCGAUACUGAUCGACUGGAAGGCAGGAGAGGGAAGCGGAAUUCCCGGUGUAGUGGUGAAAUGCGUAGAUAUCGGGAGGAACACCAGUGGCGAAGGCGGCUUCCUGGCCUGUUCUUGACGCUGAGGCGCGAAAGCUAGGGUAGCAAACGGG